Molecule: ribosomal RNA, 455 nt
Filed under: uncultured Anaerolineaceae bacterium
Lineage: Bacteria; Bacillati; Chloroflexota; Anaerolineae; Anaerolineales; Anaerolineaceae
Description: bacterial SSU rRNA
Rfam family: Bacterial small subunit ribosomal RNA
Source: RNAcentral
GACGGGGCCCGCACAAGCAGCGGAGCGUGUGGUUUAAUCGAUGAUACACGAAGAACCUUACCCAGGCUUGACAUGUAGGUGGUAGGGAUCCGAAAGGUGACCGACCCUUCGGGGAGCCUGCACAGGUGCUGCAUGGCUGUCGUCAGCUCGUGUCGUGAGAUGUCCGGUUAAGUCCGGUAACGAGCGCAACCCUCGCUGUAUGUUAUAUGUGUCAUACGGGACUGCCGGUAUCAAGCCGGAGGAAGGUGGGGAUGACGUCAAGUCAGCAUGGCCUUUAUGUCUGGGGCUACACACACGCUACAAUGGCCAGUACAAUAGGUUGCAAAACCGCGAGGUGGAGCCAAUCCUAAAAGCUGGUCUCAGUUCAGAUUGCAGGCUGCAACCCGCCUGCAUGAAGAUGGAGUUGCUAGUAACCGCAGGUCAGCUAUACUGCGGUGAAUACGUUCCCGGGGCUU